UACGGAGGGGGCGAGCGUUAUUCGGAAUUAUUGGGCGUAAAGGGCGCGUAGGCGGCCCGCUAAGUCAAAGGUGAAAUCCCUCGGCUCAACUGAGGAACUGCCUUUGAAACUGUCGGGCUCGAGGCCGGGAGGGGGUAGCGGAAUUCCCAGUGUAGCGGUGAAAUGCGUAGAUAUUGGGAGGAACACCAGUGGCGAAGGCGGCUCACUGGACCGGAACUGACGCUGAGGCGCGAAAGCGUGGGGAGCAAACGGG
Molecule: ribosomal RNA, 253 nt
Filed under: uncultured bacterium
Lineage: Bacteria
Description: partial 16S ribosomal RNA
Rfam family: Bacterial small subunit ribosomal RNA
Source: RNAcentral